Molecule: non-coding RNA, 170 nt
Filed under: human gut metagenome
Description: malK-I RNA
Rfam family: malK-I RNA
Source: RNAcentral
UGCGCGGCUCUCCAUUUUCAAGCCCCGCGCGACACAAACAAGGAGGAAUACAGCAAUCCCUGUGGCUCGGGGUACGGCAGUGUGGAGACCUGUCGCAAUGCGGCGCGCUUUUUGCGGCCGCGAGGACACGCCUAGCGGAGGCUGCGUGUCCGGAGUCGGAAUGUAUGGCA